This 403-nucleotide unclassified non-coding RNA is filed under the name soil metagenome. RNAcentral's name for it is "partial contains 5.8S ribosomal RNA, internal transcribed spacer 2, and large subunit ribosomal RNA". The stretch from base 1 to 120 matches the Rfam family "5.8S ribosomal RNA", at positions 35 to 154 of the family's 154-position model. The record is from RNAcentral.
GAUGACGAACGCAGCGAAAUGCGAUAAGUAAUGUGAAUUGCAGAAUUCAGUGAAUCAUCGAAUCUUUGAACGCACCUUGCGCCCUUUGGACUUCUGAAGGGCAUGCCUGUUUGAGUAUCAUGAACACCUCAACUCCUUAUGGUCUUCCAUGAUGAGCUUGGACUUUGGGGGUUUUGCUGGCCUACAGUCAGCUCCUCUAAAAUAAAUCAGCUUACCGGUGUUUGGUGGGUAUCAUGGGUGUGAUAACUAUCUACGCUCGUGGUUUUCCACCAGGUAACCUUCAGCAGUGGAGGUUCACUGGAGCUCAUAGAUGUCUCUCCUCAGCGAGGACAGCCCUUUGAAUGUUUGAUCUCAAAUCAGGUAGGACUACCCGCUGAACUUAAGCAUAUCAAUAAGCGGAGGA